CGCCCCGAAUUGUAGUCUAGAAAGGCGCCAUCGGUCGCGUCCGUCGCUUAAGUUCCUUGGAAUAGGAGAGUCGGAGAAGGUGAGAACCCUGUACCGUGGCGGAUCGCGACCGCACGAUGCGCCCUUGCAGAGUCGGGUUGCUUGGGAUUGCAGCUUGAAGUGGGUGGUAAAUUCCAUCUAAAGCUAAAUAUUGGCUCAUGACCGAUAGCGAACAAGUACCGUGAGGGAAAGAUGCAAAGAACUUUGAAAAGAGAGUUAAAGAGUGCUUGAAAUCGGCAAGAGGAAACCCGUUUGUGCCCGGUUUUGCGACGCCAUUUUAGCCGUCUUGUAGCGGUGUACUGUGGUUAGCAUCGUUCAUUGCGAUUACGAGCGUGUGAUAAUCACCCGGGGGGCUUCGGUGAGCCGGGACAUAGCAUGCUUGUGAUUCCGAUGGACGGAACGGGCACAACCGACCCGUCUAGAAACACGGACCAAGGAGUCUGACACGGAUGCGAGUACCUGGGUGGUAAGCCCACGUGCGCAAUGAAAGUGAAGGGCGUGCCCCGCCAACCGACCUUGAUCUUCUGUGAAGGGUUUGAGUCGAGCAUCACUGUCGGGACCCGAAAGAUGGUGAACUAUGCCUGAGGAGGUUGAAGUCUAAGGAAACUUAGAUGGAGGACCGUAGCGCUACUGACGUGCAAAUCGUUCGUCGAACUUGGGUAUAGGGGCGAAAGACUAAUCGAACCAUCUAGUAGCUGGUUCCCUCCGAAGUUUCCCUCAGGAUAGCUUGGACGCAAGGGUUUUGU
Molecule: ribosomal RNA, 785 nt
Filed under: Haptophyta environmental samples
Lineage: Eukaryota; Haptophyta
Description: eukaryotic LSU rRNA
Rfam family: Eukaryotic large subunit ribosomal RNA
Source: RNAcentral